AUUGAACGCUGGCGGCAGGCCUAACACAUGCAAGUCGAGCGGAUGAAGGGAGCUUGCUCCUGGAUUCAGCGGCGGACGGGUGAGUAAUGCCUAGGAAUCUGCCUGGUAGUGGGGGAUAACGUCCGGAAACGGGCUCUAAUACCGCAUACGUCCUGAGGGAGAAAUUGGGGGAUCUUCGGACCUCACGCUAUCAUAUGAGCCUAGGUCGGAUUAGAUAGUUGGUGGGGUAAAGGCCUACCAAGGCGACGAUCCGUAACUGGUCUUAGAGGAUGAUCAGUAAGACUGGAAGUGAGAAAGGGUAGAGACUCCUACGGGAGGAAGCAGUGGGGAAUAUUGGACGAGGGGGGAAAGGGGGAUCUAGCGAAGCGGGGGGUGUGAAGAAGGUCUCAGGAUUGUAAAGUACUGUAAGUUGGGGGGAAGGGAAGUAAGUUAAUAGCGUGCUGUAUUGACGUUACCAACAGAAGAAGCACCGGCUAACUUCGUG
RNAcentral lists this ribosomal RNA (484 nucleotides) under uncultured bacterium. Its description in RNAcentral is "partial 16S ribosomal RNA". It matches the Rfam family "Bacterial small subunit ribosomal RNA", at positions 30 to 507 of the family's 1533-position model. The record is from RNAcentral.